This 2793-nucleotide long non-coding RNA is filed under the name Heterocephalus glaber (naked mole-rat). RNAcentral describes it as "lncRNA (ENSHGLG00100038711.1)". The record is from RNAcentral. Lineage: Eukaryota; Metazoa; Chordata; Mammalia; Rodentia; Bathyergidae.
GAAAAAAACAGUCCGGUCUUUUUAAUUUAGAAAGUAUCCUUUGUGCAAUGCAUUGUGGGUAUGUAAAUAACCUUUUUUUUUUUUUUUUUUUUUUUUUUUUUAAACGGUGCUGGGGAUCGCGCACAGGGCUUCUUGCGUGGCACGGUGGAACACACCUGUAAUCUAGCACUCAGACUGAGGCAGAAUUGCAAGUUACAGCGCAGCCUGGGCAAUUUGAUAAACACUACUGACAUUACUAAAUAUCUUAAUGCACACGACAAGAUUGCUUCAAUGAAAACAGAAGUGUGAGAACUGCAUGAAGAGUUGAUCACAGGACUAUGAGUCAUCAUGCCAGGGCCUUUAGGUUAUAAAAAUUACAGCAUGGAUAAAGAAUAUUAAUCAUCAGCUACCUUUCUUCAACCAAAAACUCCUGGAAUAUCUUUAAUGCUUCAGAGAUGAGCAGCAGACAAUUUAAAAGAAAGGAUAAAGGAUGCAACCGAGCUGUUUCUAUGUGACUCGAGUCUUGAAAGAUUGUAUUGUGGCACAAUAAAAAUGUCCUUGCAGGCUGUAGAGGUAGAAAAUUGGGUUAACCUAUCUUUAAUACAGAAACUAAUUUUCAGUAAUACCCACAUUUUUAGUCUUGUGUUUUCUUUUUCUUUUUUUUUUUUUUUGGUGCCAGGAUCAAACUCGGGACCUUGCGUUUUGUGAGGCAGAUGCUGAACCACUGAGCUAAAUCUCCUGCCCUAGUCUUGUGUUUUCUUAUUUAUUUAAUGUUCAGGGCUGCUGUGGAUUGUAUUCAGGGCCUCAGGCAAGCUAAGCACACACCAAAGCACUGAGCUAUACCACCAGCCCCUCCCCUCUUUUUUUUGUACCGGGAUCGAAGUCGGAACCUUGCGCUGCCUAGGCAGGCACCUGAACCACUGAGCUAAAUCCCCACCCCCGCUCCUUUUGCUUUUUUGAGAAAAGGUCUGGCUAUACAGUUCAGGCUGUCCUUGAACUCACUGCAGUUCUCCUGCCUCAUCCACCCAAGUGCUGAGAUGAUAGGCAUGCACCACGCCACCUGGCUUCUCUUAACCUUUUGAUGUAGCUUUGGCAGAUAGAAUCAUGCUUGAAGCUAGAGGCUGCCAGCUUUCAACUAGUAGUUGCUAGUGAAACUUUGGUACAGUGAGGAUAAGAUGUUGUUGGCAUAGUGUAAUGUAAAAUAAAACAGUAAAACAUAGUCUGGUUUUUUGUUUUUGUUUUUUUUUAGACAAGAGUCUCACUCUGUAGUCUAGGCUGGCCUGGAAGUUGUUAAGUAGUUCAAACUGGUCUCAAACUCAAGCUCCUCCUGCCUCAGCUUCCCCAACUGCUGGGAAUAUAGGUAUACAGUCUUAAAAUGUUGGAAACAGCACCAUGCCUGCCUCAUAAGCACAAGGUCAUGAGUUUGAUCCCCAGUGCCAGAAAAAAAAAAAAAAGUUGGAAACUGGGCAUGGUGGUGUACACCUGUAAUCUCAGGACUCUGGGAGGCUGAGGCAGGAGAGUCAUUAGCGUCAAGCCCAGCUUGGACAAUUUAGCAACUUAGUGAGAUCCUAUUUCAAAACAAAAAAUAAAAAGUGAGCUGGUGAUGUAGCUCAGUACAAAGGUUCUCGGUUCAAUUCCCAGUUUAAAAAAAAAAGUUGGAGGGCUGGGGAUUUAGCUCAGUGGUUCCACCGCCUCUGCCUUGCAAGCCCAAGUCCCGAGUUUGAUCCCUGGUCCCAAAAAAAAUUUUUUUUAAAGUUUGAUAAAAAUGAAGAUUGACAUUUAUAAGGGAUUUAAAUUUUUUUUUUUUUGAGUACAGAUUCCUGCUUUAUAUUUACAUCUAUCCUAUACCUUAAAACCACAAAAUUGUCCUGGAUUAAUGGUAAGGAAUAAAAAAAAAAUAGUAAGGAAUCCUCCUUAGGACAUCCAGACUUCCAAAGUUUAAUGUAUACCUACUAAUGGUCACAGACAGUUACAUUCGCCCUAGGGCCUGUGAUGACAGUUUUUAACUUUUGUAUAUAAAACACCUAUCCCUUUGACACAGACUAAUGAAGGUACAUGUAACAGAUUAAUUUUUAUUGGUUUUGUUUUCUUUUUUUUUGGUACCGGGGAUCAAACUUGGGUCCUUCCACUUGUGAGGCAGGCAGUGGAACCACUGAGCUAAAUCCCCAGUCCUAACAGAUUCAUUUUUUAAAAAAACAACACAAGAAGCUGAGCAUGGUGGCACACACCUGUGAUCCCAGCUAUUUAGGAGGUUGAGGCAGAAGGACUCAAAGUUUAAGGUUAGCCUGGGCAAUUUAUUAAGACCCUGUUCUCAAAAUUUUAAAAAGGGCUUAGGAUAUAGCUCAGUGGUAGACUACUUGUCUAGCAUCCAAAGGCUCUUAAAAAAAAAGACUUCUUUUAUAAUGUUAAACCUGCUCUGUGGUAUUUAUUUUUUCAGAACAGAAACAUUAUUCAACAACCAUUAACCAUCAAGGCCGACAGGGUCUGAGAGUCUGAGGUUAUAUACAGCAUAGUGUAGUACUACGAAAGUUGUCUUUGUUUGUUUGAAACGGUCUCAUUAUGUAGUUCUGGCUGGACUUGAACUCGUUAUGUAGCCCAGCCUGGCCUUGAGCUCUCAGUGAUCCUCCUGCCUCAGCCUCCUGAGUGCUGGAAUUAUAGGCCUGUGCCACCAUUCUCAGUAUCAUCCUUCCAUAGUUCUUACCUCCCAUCCAUCUCCUCACCUUUUCAGCAGACAUUUUAAUUUGGCUUGUGAUAUUUUAAAAUGGCUUCUGUAAUCUCAUAAUUUAAAGGCAUAAACAGUUAAGCAAUAAACAC